This 831-nucleotide long non-coding RNA is filed under the name Equus caballus (horse). RNAcentral describes it as "lncRNA (ENSECAG00000053812.1)". The record is from RNAcentral. Lineage: Eukaryota; Metazoa; Chordata; Mammalia; Perissodactyla; Equidae.
UUUAGCCCUUAGGGACGAAAGCGGCAAUGUACUUGAUUGAAUUUUCUUUUCUUUUGAGAAUGUAGAAAGUUUCAACAUCUUUCUAGUCAAAUAGCAAGUUUUAUAAGCUUUAGCGUGAAAGAAAAAAAUAGAUAAGAUGCUGAAUGGCUCAUUAUUGAUACCUCCGGAUUAAGAAUGCUCCUAGUUGUUUGGAAGGUGAAGUUCAGGCAAAGUAUCGCCUUAGGAAUCUUGCAGAUACUGAUUCAGAAGGUCUGGGUGGUGCCUGAGAUUCAGCCCAAUAUAGUAAGUGAUGCCCAUGCUGCUGGUCUAUGGACUGCAUUUGAAUGGCAAGCCCUUCACAGAGCCAGCAGAGCCUCCUUUUGCACAAGGUAACCAAAGGAAGGUUGGCAAGAGAAUCUAGAAAAUUUGUAGACUUCUUGCUAUGAUAUUAGGAAGAGCAUGAAAAGGAAGAAAUGGAGCUGAGAGCUAAAAGGUGGGAGAUUAACAGGAGUGGUUGGCAGUGCAAUAUAGUAGUAAGUAUUGAGAAGAUUAAACAAGAACUUAUGGAGCCAGGAUGAUAGGGAUCCAGGAACCACCAAUAUUUGGAAAUUGGAGCAGACAGAUAUCUGUUCUGGAGAGGACGUGGGAUUGACUCACAGUAGCUUUAAGAUUCCCAGCAACAUUUUUAACACUGAAAUUCUGAUGUAACUGAUUCUAAGAAUUCACAUUAAAAUCUACGUCACUUUAUUCCUCAGUGAAAAUCUACAACAGCCUCUUGACACACCUAAGGUGCUCCUGUUUUUUUUGAAAAUAUGCCACAGAGUGUUUGCUGAAGUAUCAGGAAUAAUUAAA